Long non-coding RNA from Ictalurus punctatus (channel catfish), 1029 nucleotides. The record is from Ensembl. Lineage: Eukaryota; Metazoa; Chordata; Actinopteri; Siluriformes; Ictaluridae.
GACCCCCACAUUUUUCGAAGUUUAUAUGUUGACGACCUGUGCAUAUGCUAUCAUGGGGAAAAACAGGAAUGUAAGUGAACGACAGAUAACAGUGAAUGGAGCAGCUGCAGUGAAUGGAGAUCAACAAUACGGCAUACGUAUUCCAGAACAGAUCUCGAUCUUCACAGCCGAGGCCCGAGAGCUGCCACUGGCACUGGAAAACAUUGAGCAGGGUCAAACGUCAUGCCUUCAAGCACUUGAAUCCGUGGAGACCGAUCUUCACAUAAUCAUUAACAUUUUGACUAAAACAUUAUCCUCUGUUGGGUGCCGGGACAUAUCGGUCUGGUGGGAAAUGGAAAGAGCAGACAUGGCUGAAAAAGAUUAUCACCAAUCAGAAUGGAAUGAGUGCGACAGCAAUAAAUUAUACGGAAUAAACCUCAGGAUCCAAAGAAAUUACUCUCAAUAUUUUAAAUUUUGACAUGACCACAUAGUGUUUACCAGAAGCCGACUGGACCGUUCAAGACCAACGCGUGAAGAUCCUCUUAUAUGUAUAUUUUACCAAACCCUUAUGACCAUCAAGCACAUUUUACUGAACUGUAAACCCUUUGAACUAUCAGACAAGGCUUUUAUUCAGACACUUGUUUAAUAGAUAUUUUAAAAAAUACUGUAAAUAUUUAUUGAUGAACCUUUUGUUUGCCCUGUGAAUAACCUGGCUGCUGACAUGGUGUUUUAAAACUAACUAACUAACCAAAUAAAUAAAUAAAUAACCGAACAAACAAACAAACAAACAAAUAAAUAAAUGCAGUCUAAAGCCUCAACAUUUAUCCAAACACAGUGUAAUAAUCGAGUGCCUUAGACCACAGCCAUGAUCACAACACACCCUGAAAAGUGACUAAUCAUGUCGUCAGGAUCAAGUCAUGAGGUACUCUGUAGAGUUGGUCAUCAAAUUUCACAAAUCAGGAAAUGAGGGACGAGGAGAUAGGAAUCCAGUCUGGUCUGUGGCACAGGUUCUGGAGCAGGAAGAAGACUUGCACAGAAGGAACAACUGUA